GAAAUGCGAUAAGUAAUGUGAAUUGCAGAAUUCAGUGAAUCAUCGAAUCUUUGAACGCACAUUGCGCCCGCCAGUAUUCUGGCGGGCAUGCCUGUCCGAGCGUCAUUUCAACCAUCAAGCCCCCGGGCUUGUGUUGGGGACCUGCGGCUGCCCGCAGGCCCUGAAAACCAGUGGCGGGCUCGCUGUCACACCGAGCGUAGUAGCAAUCACCUCGCUCAGGGCGUGCUGCGGGUUCCGGCCGUUAAACAGCCUUACAAAACUCAAGGUUGACCUCGGAUCAGGUAGGAAGACCCGCUGAACUUAAGC
RNAcentral lists this unclassified non-coding RNA (306 nucleotides) under plant metagenome. RNAcentral describes it as "partial contains 5.8S ribosomal RNA, internal transcribed spacer 2, and large subunit ribosomal RNA". The stretch from base 1 to 105 matches the Rfam family "5.8S ribosomal RNA", at positions 50 to 154 of the family's 154-position model. The record is from RNAcentral.